RNAcentral lists this ribosomal RNA (253 nucleotides) under uncultured bacterium. RNAcentral describes it as "partial 16S ribosomal RNA". It matches the Rfam family "Bacterial small subunit ribosomal RNA", at positions 524 to 776 of the family's 1533-position model. The record is from RNAcentral.
UACGAGUGGUCCAAGCGUUAUCCGGAAUUAUUGGGCGUAAAGGGUCUGUAGGUGGUUUAGUUAGUCUCUCGUUAAAUCUUUGGGCUCAACCUAAAGUUCGCGAGGGAAACGGCUAGACUAGAAUAUGUUAGGGGUGUGCGGAACUCAUAGUGUAGGGGUGAAAUCCGUUGAUAUUAUGGGGAACACCAAAAGCGAAGGCAGCACACUGGAACAUUAUUGACACUGAAAGACGAAAGCGUGGGUCGCGAAUGGG